Tyto alba (common barn owl) is the source of this 1342-nucleotide long non-coding RNA. RefSeq lists it as uncharacterized. The record is from RefSeq and is a predicted model, not a curated record. The transcript has 3 exons. NCBI's taxonomy places the organism in Eukaryota, Metazoa, Chordata, Aves, Strigiformes, Tytonidae.
AUGAGGGGAGGCUGCUGGGCUCACCCACGGGGGCUGCUCCACAUCCACGCGCAGCCCGGCCCUCCUGCCCCUGCUCCUGCACGACCGACGUGGAGGCGAGGCCUCGGCACGCCAAGCGUACAGAUCUCUAUCCAAAAUGAGCCAGUUCUGGGAUGGACAACAGCAAUCAAGAAGAUGACUGUACGUCACAGAAGUGAUGGGGAGAGGCUGCCAGAAGAGGCUGGUGGGCAAUUCAAGAGAAAAGGGACAUCCCUCUGUCUUUCGGAUUGGAAUAAUGAACAGAAAUGAAGAAGAGGAGAUACUGUCAUAUGAGGGAAGCAUUUCAUCUACAGCCAGCCAUUUACAGGUGGUGACCUCCACGUUCACCUCCAUCUAUGUGAUGGUAAAAGUGACACUUGGAAGAAAAGGGAAUUUGUUUCCUACAGCUGUGGCAUAAAGCUGUGUCAAUACAGCCACCACUGCAUACAUCCAUCAUUUUAGAGGUACCAACCAAUAUUUUUCUCCUUAUCUUUCUUCCUUUGUCUCUACUCCACACUAGGGUCUUUGUGAUGGCGCAGUGCGUCUGUGCCCACUUCUAUAGCUUGCAGGUCUAAUUGCUGAAUGAUCCUCUACCACGUACUACAUUCUCAAAUGGUUUUGUGCUCCUAGUUCCUCUCAGAGAAGAUUUCAAAAGCCAUGGCCUUUUGGAGAAUAAGCUGAACAGAAGGAGCUGAAGGCCCAAAUGCCACUUUGCAACCCUUCCUGAUGCUUGAAUGCGGGACUGGGAAUCUGCCACAUUUAUAUCCUUCAUAUAUUUUUCUCUGUUUUUUCCUAAACUUCACCAGUUUGGAAAUAACAUUCAAACAGCCCUUCUAUCUAUGUUUAGUUAUUAAGGUUUGGCAACCCAUCAAGGACUGAGGUAUAGCACAUAACCAUCUGAAGAACAUCAUCUCAAUAUUCUAAAUACACUAAGAACAUCAUUUGACCUGGGGAAUAGCUUUGGUUCAGGAAAAGUCUGAUGAGCUUUUACUGCCUUAUGCCACAGAAGGAAGAGUUCAGUUAGACCACCCAAAAUACUGCACACUAAGGCAUGUUGGUUGGCAGAAGAAAGUUGCUCUCCACAAGCCUUUAUGUACGAUGUAUUUGCUAUUUCUACCUGAAUCUCUUUAGGGAACACCAGAGUUUGCAAGCAAUUCAACCCUUUAUCUGUACAGUAAGCCAUCAUCUUGGUUCUUGCAGAAGACCUAGAAACUCUACAUUUAAAAUCAUUCAUGGCUGUAGUCCCACAGAAUUUGAAAGACCUAUUCUGUAUAGAAUUUCUGAGGCAUCACCCCAGAUGUUGCUGGGAAUCUCUGUGUGUGUG